Molecule: long non-coding RNA, 276 nt
Filed under: Mytilus galloprovincialis (Mediterranean mussel)
Lineage: Eukaryota; Metazoa; Mollusca; Bivalvia; Mytilida; Mytilidae
Source: RNAcentral
GUGUUCCCAUGAACAAUCUAACCAAAUUUAGGCAAUUUUCAACGACUCAUAGCUUGAAAAAUAGCACUUUGACCCCUCCUUUUUAUUAUAUAUUUGAAAAGAGCAUAUUAAAAUCUCCAUUCUGGCUAAGUAUAAGAAAAUUCUGUCUUAAAAAAUAUUUACUUAUGAUCUACCUUAAUACCGUCGCCUAAGUAAGGAAUAUGUUAUCAGUCCACUUCCUGAUUUUAAUAAUCAUUUUUGAUACGAUAAUUUAUUUGACAUUUUUCACUGUAGAAC